RNAcentral lists this long non-coding RNA (2607 nucleotides) under Sus scrofa (pig). Its description in RNAcentral is "lncRNA (ENSSSCG00045008567.1, ENSSSCG00065044716.1, ENSSSCG00105005671.1)". Lineage: Eukaryota; Metazoa; Chordata; Mammalia; Artiodactyla; Suidae. The record is from RNAcentral.
GAUGGAAUAGAGACUUCACCAAGUCACUGGAUAUUGGGCUCCUUUGAGCUUUCUUUUCCAUCACCUUCAGCUGGUGGCUUCCAUCCUGAAGGCCACUGCAUGAUUGAGAUGGCUUUCUUAGAGCUAGCCGUCCCCUCUUCUCCUCAGGCAGCAGGAAGAUGGAAGGAGGUAAGGACAAAAGGUCUACCCUUCCAUCUGAAUAUGUUCUCCUUUCACAAUCUUCCUCUAAGUUCCAGAAAACUUUGCUUCUUCUAUGUCAUUGAUCAGAAUUUCAUCACAUGACCAUACUUGGCAAAGGAGGCUGCAGAGGUAAUUUCUACGCAGGCUUAUUGUCACCCUCUAUGCCUAAAAAGAGGGACAAAUGAGUAUUGGGUGGCAAUUUCCAUUUUCUGCUAUAGGAAGUUAAAAUCUACUUGGGGAAGCAAGAACCUGAAGUCUUAAAGAGGCAAUUAAUAGUAUAUUGGGAAGGGGCAAGUGAUGGGUUGCUAAAAUUUGGAGGAGGCAGUGUAGGUGUCAACGCACUCCAGGAAAGUGUCUUGGAAGAACUAGGAUUUGAAGUCCUUUUUGAGGAUGAGAAGGACUCAGGAGACACAAAAGACUGGGGAAGACAUCUCAGCAGGAAAGCAAUAACCUCAGCAGAAGCCUAGAAGCUGGACAAUGCAGAUCAGCUCUCGGGGCAGAAGCAACAGAGACCAAAUGUUAAGCUGCAAAGUAAUGGAGUCUUUGGCUGGAAGGGAAGGAAAACAGACUGAUUUUUUUUUGUAAUUGUCUAAGGCACUAAGACCACUUGGCCAGGAUAAAAUGUGAAUACUGAACUUCCUUGUUACUGGAAUUGACACUCCUGUAUUUAUACACAACUCACGCCAGUAGAAAUGAUCGCACUGUUUACUCCAGUAAGUUUCACUCAUUUUGGGAUUGUCCAAGAUAGCACAAAGAGUGUAGCCAGUGACUAUAUGACAACACUAAUCAAAAUAAAGACGUGGGAUGCCUGAGCCGACAGCCCAAGGCUAUAAUUCAUUAAAUGGAGGAAGAAAAAGCCUACAGAUAGAGAGUUCUGGGCCCCUCUCCUAAAUAUUAAUUGUUUAUUUCAUGAUUCUUCUCCAUUCUAAACAGACCUUAAACUGCCCCUUCUUAAUAUGCUCCCAUAAAGGAUUAUAAACUAGAAAGGAGGUUGGUUUAAACAAAGUAAUCAGAAAGUAAGCAACCUUCUUCUCUUUCUCUCUGGCUGGAAACUUGUUUUGUCUGUUAAGGAACUUUUCUCUUCAGCACACAGACCUCAAGGUCAAACAGAGGUCACUCUUCUGCUUUUUGAGGUAUGGGUGCUUUCACGUUAUUUGCUCAUUUUUAUUGCUGAGAAUAACCAUCCAUUUGCCCACAUAACCAGGGCCUCCUCAACACAAAGACUUGAGAGUGGGCACUGGCAGGGGGUUAAUCCCAUUCAACACAAAGCAAACAAGUUCAAAUCUCAUUAAAUGUCGGACUUUGCUGCAAGAAUACAAAUAUUUCCAAUUUAGAAAAGGAAGAUAGAAAUGUGACACAGAAGUAUUCUAAUCAUUUAGUAGAAUAAAUCGUACCAACAUGAUCCUAAAACUGUCAACUGGGUGGAAAAAAAGAAUAAAACUCCAUUAAUAAUACAACAGUAAUGCUUACUUUUUCACAUGAGGAAAAUUCCAUUAUAACAAACAGCCCGAGGCUUUCAAAUUGCUUUUGUUCUAGAUCAGUGGAAUAUUGUUAUAAAGAAUAUAUUACUAGCAAUGAUAGUUUGGGUCUAAAGAUGAAACCUAGCUGAUUUUUUAUAGUGAACUAACAGAGAUGGCAGUGCCAUGUGUGAAUAACCUCCUUUGUGCAAAUUUUUAAAAGGUAGACUUUUCAUGUGGGCACACGGCUUGGUGAGGAGAAUGCAGGUUGGCAUUCAACUCCAUUUGCCUCCUCAGUCAGAGCACCUUCUGCAGAUGCUCUGGUUGCACAAGAUUGUUCUUUUAAGACCUAUGUUAAGUUGAUUCUCUGAAAUUACUUUCCUUGAGUCUAUGGGAUAAACCUUCUGUAUGCCUCCUUUUUAGCUAUAAGGUCCUCUGUGAUAGAAUUUCUCAUUCAAAGAUGUGGACCAAUGUUUUUUCCUUUGGUAAAUUCAUCCUACAAGGAUCUUGCGAGACCCCUGUAUCCCUAACAAUGCCAUGAUCAUGGUGCCUUGGGCAAGAUACAGGCCAAGGUUGGCCAGAGGCCUUGACCUUACAGGCAGGAUCCUCAACUGCCCUGUGAUCGCCAAGGGAGCAGUCUUAGCUUGGGCUCCCUUAAGAGCAGAUCUUAAGACAAAGAUUUGGAUAUGAAUAGUUAACUUUGGAGGUAGUCCCAGGAGGCAUAGUGGUUGAGGAAAUGAGACAAGGAAAAGACAACUGGCAAUAGAGCUGGCUAUGCGAACCCAACUAGCAUCCAUGAGAGCGUGGGUUCGAUCCCUGGCCUUGCUCAGUAGGUUAAGGAUCUGGCAUUGCCCUGAGCUGUGGGAUAGGUCAAAGACGUGGCUCAGAUCCUGCAUUGCUGUGGCUCUGGCAUAGGCCGGCAGCUGCAGUUCUAAUUGGAUUCCUAGCCUGGGAACCUCCAUAUGCCACA